UGGGGAAUAUUGCACAAUGGAGGGAACUCUGAUGCAGCGACGCCGCGUGAGUGAUGAAGGAAUUCGUUUCGUAAAACUCUGUUCUAUGGGAAGAAAAGGACUGUACCAUAGGAGAAAGCUCCGGCUAAAUACGUGCCAGCAGCCGCGGUAAUACGUAUGGGGCAAGCGUUGUCCGGAAUUAUUGGGCGUAAAGGGUACGUAGGCGGUUUAAUAAGUCCUAAUUAAAAGGCUAUGGCUCAACCAUAGUAUGGUUAGGAAACUGUUGAACUUGAGUAGAUGAGGGGAAAGUGGAAUUCCAUGUGUAGCGGUGAAAUGCGUAGAUAUAUGGAGGAACACCAAUGGCGAAGGCAACUUUCUGGAAUCAAACUGACGCUGAGGUACGAAGGCGUGGGGAGCAAACAGG
This 403-nucleotide ribosomal RNA is filed under the name Fusobacteriota bacterium. RNAcentral's name for it is "Fusobacteria bacterium partial 16S ribosomal RNA". It matches the Rfam family "Bacterial small subunit ribosomal RNA", at positions 355 to 776 of the family's 1533-position model. The record is from RNAcentral. Lineage: Bacteria; Fusobacteriati; Fusobacteriota.